CACCAGUGGAGGCUCAGUUGGAAAUACGGAAAUCACCCGUCUUCUGCGUCAAUCUCGCUGGGAGCUGUUCCUAUUCGGCCAUCUUGGAAGCCUCCUGACUCUUUCACAACUUCUCAAUAAAUAAGAGAUGACUGAAUGUCUUUUUAAGUCCAUUUGUCAGGAGCCAGAGGCCUGGACUAGAAACUUCACCUGAUCUCCUGCCCCUCCUUGUGCCAUAGCAAGUCACAGAUUUUUCUAAGAGCAAAUCAACCAAAAGUAAAAAUAGAACCUGUUGAUUUUCCUAAGAGGAAAUCAACCAAAAAUAAAAAUAAAACCUGUUUCUUGAGGUGUUUGACUUAGGAAUUCUUUCCUGGGCCUCAGAAACAUUGGAACUUUCAUUUUUACUCUUCUCACCAGCACCUGUUAGUUUGGAGACAAAGUUAGACUUUAGCUCUUGGAAGCAGGUGAGUGUAACAGUCAAACACAUGGUCCCUGGAGACUAAUUGCUUGGAUUCAAAUCCUAGUCUCGUCGCUUGCUAGCUGUGGGCCCCUGGGCAGUUUGCUCAGCCUCCUUGUGUCUUCAUUCCCUCUUCUGUAAAAUGGGGAUGGUGAUCAAAGUGCCUGUCUCACAAUGUGGCUGUGAGAAUGAAGUUAGCUAAUAGACAUCAAGGUCUUAGAACUCCCUACGUUAGAUUCUGGGACCUCACAUAUAUGCUUCUGUGCCUGGGUUCUGAGCUCAUAGAUGGUGGCAAGGGUUGGAUGAGGAUCUGUGUGAAGCACGUCCUGCCCAUAGCAGGGGCUGGGUAAAAUGGAGCAACAUGUUCUCCUCCUCACACCCUUAUGUAAGCACCUUUUCAAAGCAGCCCCGUGUUUCUUUACCCACUCGUUUCUUUUUCCUCCCAAAGACAAUGAAUUGCUUGCUGAAAGAGCCUUGCCGAGUGCACACACACGUGACAGCAUUCCAUUAAAAAUCUCUUUGCAUAGCUCUAAUGCAGUGAGAGACAUUUGUGAUAGGUUGGAAGGGGAAGCACUGAUUUUGAAAGGAAAAGGGAACAAAGUGCUUUUAUUCCCCGUUGAAUUAAAAAAUACUUCCAAGGCUCCAAUGUCAAAUCUUUUCCUCACUUUCUCCCGCAGCAAUGUGCCAGAAACCCUGACAAUGAACCGCUGUCUCUGACUAAUUGUUCUAGUGGAGAUGUCUCCUGUUUGACUUGAUUUUAAACUGUGGAGCACGUCAAGAGAAAGCUCACUGAUCUGCCGAGGGUUUGUGCUUUUCUGUCUUCAUGCAUCUGUUGUGGGUGAAGAGAGCAAAGAUUCUUCAUUCAAUCAAAGGCCCCCUUUGGAGAUGCUGAGAAGGAAAUUUCCUUUGGAAAUUCCCAAAGGUAGGUUCUUUGGGGAAGUGAGAACUCUGCUGCUUCAACCUUAGCCCAGCCUGCCCUCCUGGUGGGAAAGACCAGCCGUGUCUUGGCUUCCAAAGAACCAGGAGACAGAAGGAAUUUAUGGCUGGAAGCCCAGCAUGGUCGUGUCCCCUGGGCCCAGUUGCUUCCCCUCUGUGGUUUCCAUAUCUAUGUGUUAAGAGAAAGCAUCUGAAACUUUGAAAUAAGGAAGAAGAUGACUGCGUGUCCUUUGAAUGCCACAUUAAAGCACUGUCAGACAGGCCCUGCCCAAUGGCAAUUUAAUUCUUCAGGGCACGGGCCAAAUCUGGCUGCUGCCUGUUUUUGUAAAUAAAGUUCUAUUGGAACACAGCCACACCCAUUCGCGUACAGAUUGUCUGUGCUGCUUUCAUUUUGCAACCACGGCUGCAUUUGAGUGGUUGCAACAGAGACCAUAUGGCCCACAAAGCUGA
RNAcentral lists this long non-coding RNA (1822 nucleotides) under Homo sapiens (human). Its description in RNAcentral is "long non-coding RNA NONHSAT195893.1". Lineage: Eukaryota; Metazoa; Chordata; Mammalia; Primates; Hominidae. The record is from RNAcentral.